Molecule: non-coding RNA, 330 nt
Organism: Erinaceus europaeus (western European hedgehog)
Lineage: Eukaryota; Metazoa; Chordata; Mammalia; Eulipotyphla; Erinaceidae
Source: Rfam
GGAUAUGAGGACAAUCUGGUUGCAAAAUCUGUCACCCCAUUUUUCGCCAGGGUUGAUUCAGUUGAUCUGGCUGGAUAGGCUGGUGACUCCUUCCUCCCUCACUACUCCAUAUGCUCCCUCCCAAAGCUGUGUGCUCUGCUGAAUAGGAUAUCUAUCCUUCCCCAAAUAGAGAGGGACUGGUCUUCAGUUGAGGGUAUAUGAGUAGCUGUGCGCCCCUGCUAAAACCUCCAAACAGACUCUCAAGGUCCAUUUACUCAACAAAUUAGGGUCUAGCAUGUGGCAAACCCACAUGACACACUAGCUAUCAAGCAUAAUGACGUGGGUCCAAGU